AGAAAAUCUUGUAAGAUGAAAGCUGAAGGAUGAGAGCAAUUAAUUGAUGAAGUAUGAUGAUCCAGGUGUCCCUGGGUGAAGAAACAACCUCUACAAAGGCCCUGAGGGUCUCGCUCAUCACCAGGCUGGAGUACAGUGACAUGAUCACGGCUCACUGCAGCCUCAACCUCCCGGGUUCAGGCUAUCCUCCCACCUCAGCCUCCCAGGACCACAGGCGUGUACCACCAUGCCCAGCUAAUUUUUUGUAGCGAUGGGGUUAUGCCAUGUUGCCCAGGCUGGUCUCGAGCUGCUGGGCACAAGCAAUCUACCCAUCUCAGUCUCCCAAAGUGCUGGGAUUAUAGUCGUGAGCCACUGUGCCCAGCCAACAGCGUCUUUCAAAGAGCAGAGAGAGGUUAAUUUUGAUGAUGUCCAGUUUGCA
RNAcentral lists this long non-coding RNA (418 nucleotides) under Pan troglodytes (chimpanzee). Its description in RNAcentral is "long non-coding RNA NONPTRT009741". Lineage: Eukaryota; Metazoa; Chordata; Mammalia; Primates; Hominidae. The record is from RNAcentral.